This 993-nucleotide ribosomal RNA is filed under the name Triticum aestivum (bread wheat). RNAcentral's name for it is "partial small subunit ribosomal RNA". Lineage: Eukaryota; Viridiplantae; Streptophyta; Magnoliopsida; Poales; Poaceae. The record is from RNAcentral.
AUGGCAUCUUCAUCUCUAUCAGUCGUGUUGCUCCUGUGCCUGGCCUCGGCGGUGUCGGCGCAGCUGUCGUCCACGUACUACGACAAGUCGUGCCCUUCGGCUCUUUCCAAAAUCCAGGCCGGCGUGGCGGCAGCCGUGGCGAGCGACCGCCGCAUGGCCGCGUCGCUGCUCCGGCUGCACUUCCAUGAUUGCUUUGUCCAGGGCUGUGACGCGUCCGUUCUGCUGAAUGAAACUAGCGUGGGUGGCAACGAGCGGGGCGCAUUCGGGAACGUGGGAUCGCUCCGUGGCUUCGAGGUCAUCGAACAAAUCAAGAAGGAUGUGGAAGCCGUGUGCAAAAAGCCCUACAGCAACAAUGGCUCCGUCGUCUCCUGCGCCGACAUCCUCGCCGUCGCCGCCCGCGAUUCCGUCGUCGCGUUGGGAGGGCCGUCGUGGGAGGUUAAACUGGGAAGGAGGGACUCCACCACGGCUAGCGUGGCACAGGCCAACCAGGACCUGCCUCCGCCCUUCUUGGACGUCGCCGGCCUCAACGCCAGCUUCGCCGGCAAGGGGUUCAGCUUGACCGACAUGGUCGCCCUCUCCGGCGGCCACACCAUCGGGAUGGCGCAGUGCCAGAACUUCAGAAACAGGCUCUACAACGAGCCCAACAUCAACACGACCUACGCGACGAAGCUCAAACUCAACUGCCCCACGUCUGGCGGCAACACCAACCUGGCCCCGCUCGACGACGACACAGCGACCCCCCCGAACCCGGACUUGUUCAACAACGACUUCUUCAUAAACCUCCAGUCAGAGAAGGGCCUCCUUCACUCCGACCAGGUGCUCUACAACGCCACCGCACCCGCCGGUGCCACCGAAGGCAUCGUUAAUGGCUUCGCUUCUAGCCAGGCCGCCUUCUUUAGCGCCUUCGCCUCCGCCAUGGUGAAGAUGGCCAACCUCAGCCCGUUGACUGGCUCUCAGGGCCAGGUCAGGACCGUGUGCUCCAUCCCCAACUAA